GAUGAACGCUAGCGACAGGCUUAACACAUGCAAGUCGAACGGAGCACCUUUGAAAGAGACUUCGGUCAAUGGAUGAGACUGCUUAGUGGCGGACGGGUGAGUAACGCGUGAGGAACCUGCCUUUCAGAGGGGGACAGCAGUUGGAAACGACUGCUAAUACCGCAUAAGACCACAGAGCCGCAUGGCUCGGGGGUCAAAGGAGAAAUCCGCUGAAGGAUGGCCUCGCGUCCGAUUAGCUAGUUGGCCGGGGUAACGGCCCACCAAGGCGACGAUCGGUAGCCGGACUGAGAGGUUGAUCGGCCACAUUGGGACUGGAGACACGGCCCAG
This 328-nucleotide ribosomal RNA is filed under the name uncultured bacterium. Its description in RNAcentral is "bacterial SSU rRNA". It matches the Rfam family "Bacterial small subunit ribosomal RNA", at positions 28 to 334 of the family's 1533-position model. The record is from RNAcentral.